AGAGUCACUCGGGUGACCGCGCGUGGGAAUUCCCGCUCGAGGAAAGUCCGGGCUUCAUAGGACGCAGUGGUGGCUAACGGCCACCGGGGGAAACCCUAGGGAAAGUGCCACAGAAAAUAAACCGCCUAAGCAACCUCGGUUGCCGGUAAGGGUGAAAUGGCGAGGUAAGAGCUCACCGC
This 179-nucleotide RNase P RNA is filed under the name Planctomycetota bacterium. Its description in RNAcentral is "partial RNase P RNA component class A". It matches the Rfam family "Bacterial RNase P class A", at positions 1 to 181 of the family's 367-position model. From Rfam's summary of the family: Ribonuclease P (RNase P) is a ubiquitous endoribonuclease, found in archaea, bacteria and eukarya as well as chloroplasts and mitochondria. The record is from RNAcentral. Lineage: Bacteria; Pseudomonadati; Planctomycetota.